AUUGAACGCUGGCGGCAGGCCUAACACAUGCAAGUCGAACGGUAACAGGAAGAAGCUUGCUUCUUUGCUGACGAGUGGCGGACGGGUGAGUAAUGUCUGGGAAACUGCUUGAUGGAGGGGGAUAACUACUGGAAACGGUAGCUAAUACCGCAUAACGUCGCAAGACCAAAGAGGGGGACCUUCGGGCCGCUUGCCAUCGGAUUUGCCCAGAUGGGAUUAGCUAGUAGGUGGGGUAACGGCUCACCUAGGCGACGAUCCCUAGCUGGUCUGAGAGGGUGACCGGCCACACUGGAACUGAGACACGGUCCAGACUCCUACGGGAGGCAGCAGUGGGGAAUAUUGCACAAUGGGCGCAAGCCUGAUGCGGCCAUGCCGCGUGUAUGAAGAAGGUCUUCGGGUUGUAAAGUACUUUCAGCGGGGAGGAAGAGAGUAAAGUUAAUACCUUUGCUCAUUGACGUUACCCGCAGAAGAAGCACCGGCUAACUACGUG
RNAcentral lists this ribosomal RNA (490 nucleotides) under uncultured bacterium. RNAcentral describes it as "partial 16S ribosomal RNA". It matches the Rfam family "Bacterial small subunit ribosomal RNA", at positions 30 to 507 of the family's 1533-position model. The record is from RNAcentral.